Non-coding RNA from Triticum urartu, 86 nucleotides. The record is from Rfam. Lineage: Eukaryota; Viridiplantae; Streptophyta; Magnoliopsida; Poales; Poaceae.
CGGCGCUCUGCCCCGCCCCGUAGAAGUAGCUGUAGCUGUCGCCCACCAUCUGGCUGAACAGCGCAUCCGGAUUCGGGCGGCCACCA